UGGGGAAUAUUGGACAAUGGGGGCAACCCUGAUCCAGCCAUGCCGCGUGUGUGAAGAAGGCCUUUUGGUUGUAAAGCACUUUAAGCAGGGAGGAGAGGCUAAUGGUUAAUACCCAUUAGAUUAGACGUUACCUGCAGAAUAAGCACCGGCUAACUCUGUGCCAGCAGCCGCGGUAAUACAGAGGGUGCGAGCGUUAAUCGGAAUUACUGGGCGUAAAGCGAGUGUAGGUGGCUCAUUAAGUCACAUGUGAAAUCCCCGGGCUUAACCUGGGAACUGCAUGUGAUACUGGUGGUGCUAGAAUAUGUGAGAGGGAAGUAGAAUUCCGGGUGUAGCGGUGAAAUGCGUAGAGAUCUGGAGGAAUACCGAUGGCGAAGGCAGCUUCCUGGCAUAAUAUUGACACUGAGAUUCGAAAGCGUGGGUAGCAAACAGGAUUAGAUACCCUGGUAGUCCACGCCGUAAAACGAUGUCUACUAGCCGUUGGGGGUCCUUUGAGACUUUAGUGGCGCAGUUAACGCGAUAAGUAGACCGCCUGGGGAGUAC
Molecule: ribosomal RNA, 540 nt
Filed under: uncultured bacterium
Lineage: Bacteria
Description: partial 16S ribosomal RNA
Rfam family: Bacterial small subunit ribosomal RNA
Source: RNAcentral